GACGAACGCUGGCGGCGUGCUUAACACAUGCAAGUCGAACGGUGAAGCGCCUUCCUUUUUGGGGGGUGUGGAUGAGUGGCGAACGGGUGAGUAACACGUGAGUAACCUGCCCCCUUCUUCUGGAUAACCGCAUGAAAGUGUGGCUAAUACGGGGUAUUCUGGGUCUGUCGCAUGAUGGGUCUGGGAAAGAUAUUGUUUCGGUGGGGGAUGGGCUCGCGGCCUAUCAGCUUGUUGGUGGGGUGAUGGCCUACCAAGGCGGUGACGGGUAGCCGGCCUGAGAGGGUGGACGGUCACACUGGGACUGAGACACGGCCCAGACUCCUACGGGAGGCAGCAGUGGGGAAUAUUGCACAAUGGGCGCAAGCCUGAUGCAGCGACGCCGCGUGAGGGAUGGAGGCCUUCGGGUUGUGAACCUCUUUCGCCAGUGAAGCAGGCCUGCCUCUUUUGUGGGUGGGUUGACGGUAGCUGGAUAAGAAGCGCCGGCUAACUACGUGCCAGCAGCCGCGGUAAUACGUAGGGCGCGAGCGUUGUCCGGAAUUAUUGGGCGUAAAGAGCUCGUAGGCGGCUGGUCGCGUCUGUCGUGAAAUCCUCUGGCUUAACUGGGGGCUUGCGGUGGGUACGGGCCGGCUUGAGUGCGGUAGGGGAGGCUGGAACUCCUGGUGUAGCGGUGGAAUGCGCAGAUAUCAGGAAGAACACCGGUGGCGAAGGCGGGUCUCUGGGCCGUUACUGACGCUGAGGAGCGAAAGCGUGGGGAGCGAACAGG
RNAcentral lists this ribosomal RNA (763 nucleotides) under uncultured Actinomyces sp. Its description in RNAcentral is "bacterial SSU rRNA". It matches the Rfam family "Bacterial small subunit ribosomal RNA", at positions 28 to 776 of the family's 1533-position model. Lineage: Bacteria; Bacillati; Actinomycetota; Actinomycetes; Actinomycetales; Actinomycetaceae. The record is from RNAcentral.